GAGUUUGAUCCUGGCUCAGAACGAACGCUGGCGGCAUGCCUAACACAUGCAAGUCGAACGAGACCUUCGGGUCUAGUGGCGCACGGGUGCGUAACGCGUGGGAAUCUGCCCUUGGGUUCGGGAUAACAGUUGGAAACGACUGCUAAUACCGGAUGAUGUCUUCGGACCAAAGAUUUAUCACCCAGGGAUGAGCCCGCGUCGGAUUAGCUAGUUGGUGAGGUAAAGGCUCACCAAGGCGACGAUCCGUAGCUGGUCUGAGAGGAUGAUCAGCCACACUGGGACUGAGACACGGCCCAGACUCCUACGGGAGGCAGCAGUGGGGAAUAUUGGACAAUGGGCGAAAGCCUGAUCCAGCAAUGCCGCGUGAGUGAUGAAGGCCUUAGGGUUGUAAAGCUCUUUUACCCGGGAUGAUAAUGACAGUACCGGGAGAAUAAGCCCCGGCUAACUCCGUGCCAGCCGCCGCGGUAAU
This 469-nucleotide ribosomal RNA is filed under the name uncultured Alphaproteobacteria bacterium. RNAcentral's name for it is "bacterial SSU rRNA". It matches the Rfam family "Bacterial small subunit ribosomal RNA", at positions 9 to 524 of the family's 1533-position model. The record is from RNAcentral. Lineage: Bacteria; Pseudomonadati; Pseudomonadota; Alphaproteobacteria.